UGGGGAAUAUUGCACAAUGGGCGCAAGCCUGAUGCAGCCAUGCCGCGUGUAUGAAGAAGGCCUUCGGGUUGUAAAGUACUUUCAGCGGGGAGGAAGGGAGUAAAGUUAAUACCUUUGCUCAUUGACGUUACCCGCAGAAGAAGCACCGGCUAACUCCGUGCCAGCAGCCGCGGUAAUACGGAGGGUGCAAGCGUUAAUCGGAAUUACUGGGCGUAAAGCGCACGCAGGCGGUUUGUUAAGUCAGAUGUGAAAUCCCCGGGCUCAACCUGGGAAUUGCAUCUGAUACUGGUCAGCUAGAGUCUUGUAGAGGGGGGUAGAAUUCCAUGUGUAGCGGUGAAAUGCGUAGAGAUGUGGAGGAAUACCGGUGGCGAAGGCGGCCCCCUGGACAAAGACUGACGCUCAGGUGCGAAAGCGUGGGGAGCAAACAGG
RNAcentral lists this ribosomal RNA (429 nucleotides) under Chloroflexota bacterium. RNAcentral describes it as "Chloroflexi bacterium partial 16S ribosomal RNA". It matches the Rfam family "Bacterial small subunit ribosomal RNA", at positions 355 to 776 of the family's 1533-position model. Lineage: Bacteria; Bacillati; Chloroflexota. The record is from RNAcentral.